UAGUCUACAUGGAGAAUUCUAGGGCUA
This 27-nucleotide non-coding RNA is filed under the name Mus musculus (house mouse). The record is from RNAcentral. Lineage: Eukaryota; Metazoa; Chordata; Mammalia; Rodentia; Muridae.